ACGGAUACGUUUAGCAGUUCGUGUAAUUGACAUUAAUCUAAACUUACUGAUGAUGUUAUAACAUGGGCGUCGAAUCCAAUAUUAAUCAUGCUGAGGUUUUCACGACGGGGUAAUGUGUAUAAAUGCAGUUAUAAAAUUAAAAGGGACAAGAUAGUCGACGUGACCUUCAUGUUUCCAUGGCAAUCAGUCAAUCACAUGUUACGUUUAUGCUGCGGUCAUUCGCGCAGUAUCCAUGAUUUUAAGCGGCAUAAAACACUUAUGUUAACUCCUUUGUACGAAAAUGUCAUGUCGUGUAAGUUGGCAUGUUCUAUUCGAAUUGAAAUGCAUUGUAACGGUGUAAUUUUGCUUACUUCUCUUGUUGAAUAGUUAGCAAGUUUUAAUGGAAAUAGAAAAUAUUGGUUAUCUAGACAAAUGUGCUCUUAUUUUCAGUAUAUUUUUAUAACUCUUUUGUAAUGUCUUCGUUAUCAGAGCCCUUCAAAUUAGAAAAGUGAUGAUGAUCUUGUCAAUGCUGAGAUUUUCAUGCAUCAACAGCCACUACAUCUGGAUCAGAUUGAACAAGAAACAGACAUAAAGGGUUGUCAGGUCAGAAACAGAAUGACACACAAACACGAGAAACUUCACAGGCAGAUCAACAUGCAAUUUGAAGACGUGUGAUAAAAUACAGAGAUGUGAAGUCGUGUGUCUUUCCAGAUGCCCAAAUCAUUCCCGCUUAAAAGAUGAGCCUGAAGAGGAGAUUUGGGAAGAUGCUGUUUCAUAAGUCGCUUUGCCAGAUCACCUGUGGUCGGGAUGUCUGCUAACAAGAUGCCUUGCUGGUUUGGGCGAGUUUAAAGUCUAACACAGACAGUCCAGAGGUUCUGAAGUCCAUCUUCGAUCUCAAUGAUGCUGUCAUCGUAUUAAGUACAGCAUGAGCCAGAAUGGAUGGGUGGUGGUGGCCAUAAGAAGACUGUCAACUAAAUCAACAACAAAAUUCAUAUUUGCAUUUUUUCUUGAAUAAAGUUUUUCUAUUCAGA
This is a long non-coding RNA of Paramisgurnus dabryanus, 1010 nucleotides long. RefSeq lists it as uncharacterized. NCBI's taxonomy places the organism in Eukaryota, Metazoa, Chordata, Actinopteri, Cypriniformes, Cobitidae. The record is from RefSeq and is a predicted model, not a curated record.